AUUAAUUGUUAAAUUAAGAUUCUAAUUUUCUAAUUUUCUUUCAACACCCUGUAGUAAAAAUGACAAUCUAACGUGUCGUUUCACAAGUUAACUCAUAUUCGACUCAUUAAUAAAUAAACCGACCGUUCCUAGAGUAAGUGGCAAAGGGUUUGGUGGUUGGUACCCGAGAUCUAAGUUCGAAUCCUAGUUGAUUCACAUUUUCAGCUAAAUUUAUUUCUAAAUGAAAUAAACGAAGCGGAUAGCGUGCUACCUAUCUCUCAAAAAAAAAUAAAAAUAAACUAAACACGAGCUAAAAUUUUCAAUUCGAUAUCUUAACGAGUCAGCUCGUAUUUGGCUUGUUUAAUAAACGAGCGAACAAGAGCCAAUCCCAGCUCGCUCGUGCAUGCAU
Molecule: long non-coding RNA, 388 nt
Filed under: Ananas comosus (pineapple)
Lineage: Eukaryota; Viridiplantae; Streptophyta; Magnoliopsida; Poales; Bromeliaceae
Description: long non-coding RNA (ACOM_LNC025528)
Source: RNAcentral